This 10108-nucleotide long non-coding RNA is filed under the name Lactuca sativa (garden lettuce). RNAcentral describes it as "long non-coding RNA (LSAT_LNC009195)". The record is from RNAcentral. Lineage: Eukaryota; Viridiplantae; Streptophyta; Magnoliopsida; Asterales; Asteraceae.
ACAAACGCAAUCAAUCGAAUUCCCCCAAAUUUCAAACCCUAGAAUUUUCGUUUUCGUUCCCAAUCUCCCAACAAAAUUCUGAUGGCUCCCAAGGCAGAGAAGAAGCCCGCCGAGAAGAAACCAGCGGAAGAAAAGAAGGCCGUGGCCGAGAAAGCACCAGCGGAGAAGAAGCCAAAGGCCGGGAAGAAAUUGCCUAAAGAAGCAGGCGCUGCCGCCGGAGACAAGAAAAAGAAGAGAUCCAAGAAGAGCGUCGAGACCUACAAGAUUUACAUAUUCAAGGUGUUGAAACAGGUGCAUCCUGAUAUCGGAAUCUCAAGCAAAGCCAUGGGAAUCGUGAACAGUUUCAUCAACGAUAUAUUUGAGAAGCUCGCCCAGGAGAGUUCGAGGCUUGCAAGGUACAACAAGAAGCCGACAAUCACGUCAAGGGAAAUUCAAACCGCCGUGAGGCUUGUACUUCCCGGUGAAUUGGCCAAGCACGCCGUGUCGGAAGGCACAAAAGCGGUCACAAAAUUCACCAGCUCUUGAAUAGCUUUUCAUUGAAACAUGGCAGCGUUUGGGUUUCUCAACUUUUAUCAUCAUGCAUUAGCGAUCAAAUGUCGUUUUUCUUUUUGUCUUUAGGAGGAAUAUAAGUUUGUAAAUUUGGGUUAUCUUCAUCCGAUUUGUGUUUUUACAUUAUCUGUGUAAUGAAAUGCGAAUUUAAGAUAUCGCAACAUUCAAUCUAUAAUGGCAUAUCUUUUGUAAAGAACAUUUGACUCAUACAAAUAUCAUCACUUGUUUAGCCAUUAUUACUCAUGUAUAGGUUUGUUUUGGGUAAUUGGGUCGGAUUAGUAAGAAACAAAACACCUGUUUACUUUGAAGUUUGAAUCAAUUUCUGUUCUUAAGAAACACACUUUUACAACCAACAUAACUGCACUUGAUCUCUAACUAAGGAAGUUAAUUCAUGUCAAAAACCAGACCUGGCAUUGUUGAUGUUAUUUCUUGUUUGCAUAAUUGAUCCGAAUAUUUCUACCAUCCAGUAGCUGAAAAUAAGCAUUACAAACCAAUAAAAUGAAUAUGAAAUGAUGUUUUGGUUACAUUAGAAGAAAAGGUUUUUGUUUAUGAUUCUAAUGUUUUUUUUUUUACCUGACCAUGCAUUUCUGCUAAGGCUUUGGUGGCAGACUCCUCAGAAACAAAAUGCACAAAUCCAUAUCCUUUUGAUUUCCCACUCUUGUGAUCGCAUAUAACCUUAACUGCAAUGCAAUCAAUCAUGGAAGUUAAAACUUUUUAUAAGAAGAUCAGACAGACACACAGCAGCUAGUGAGUUGUGAUCAUGUGUGUACCUUCAAUUAAUUCUCCAUGCUGCUCAAAUGCAUCUUUUAACACUGGUUCAUGUGUAUCAUACGAAAGCCCUGUGUGCAUACAUAUACUUUUAUGACAAAAUUGCAAAAAUGGUCCCUGUGGUAUGCAAAAUUUUGGGGUUUUAGUCCAAACAGUGACUUUUUUGGAUUGGUGGUCCUUUUGACCAUGUUUGCUUGUGGUUUUGGUCCCUCGGAAAACUGAAAAGACUAAAAUGCCCUUUCUGAUAUAUUUUUUGUAUUUUUUUUGUUUAAUUUAAAAGAAAAAGAAAAUAAAUAACUAAUUUGGUCUCUCUCUCUCUCUCUCUCUCUCUCUCUCACACACACACACACACAUAACACUAAACCCAAAUAUCCAGCUACUGCUAUAGCAAAUCUCGAUCCCUCCAGUUCGUAUCUCACCGGCCGAAGGAAAAGACCGACCAACUUGACACCGACCACCACCUCCCUCCGCCCUCUUCUGUCGAGUCACUCCAGCAAUCACCGAUGCCACUUUUUCCCUCCUUUGUCUUCGCCGGUAGAAGACCAAACAAAAGCAUCAAAGGCUACCGGAGCUCCUCCCUCCGCCACCCACUGCCUCUUUCCCAUCGAGAAACACCACCACCACCAACGAUGGUGUUGCUGUUGCUGGGACCACCAUGAAACCACCUCCCUCCUUGUUUUUUUCUGUUGAUCGGAGCAACCCAUUGGUAAUCGUAUUGCUUUUUUGAGAGAUGAAGACUGGUAGAGAGACUGGGACAAAUCAAUUGAAACUUAUCCUCCUUCAAUCACCCGAACUUGUCGGAAUAAAAUGAUUAUGGAUAAUCGAUUGAAGCUUCUCUAUUAUUUCUCAAUCAUAAUCAUCAAACCAUUUUAAUCCACAUCUGCAAUGUCUGUAUUUACCCAAAAUCAGAAUCGUAUCUCUCUGUCGAUCAAACGCCUCAAAUCUCUAACAUUUUUCUUCAAUUUCAAUUCGCCGGCGGCCGACCUCCUUCUUCCGACCUCCUCCUUCAAUUUCAAUUUGACGAGUUUUGGUGUGUGUUCAAUCNNNNNNNNNNNNNNNNNNNNNNNNNNNNNNNNNNNNNNNNNNNNNNNNNNNNNNNNNNNNNNNNNNNNNNNNNNNNNNNNNNNNNNNNNNNNNNNNNNNNUGAAAAAAUGCAAACCACAGGGACUAUUUUUGCAGUUUUGUCUACUUUUAUUACCAUGAGUCAAUAACCCAAGGCUACUAUAAACAUGAUGAGUUCUUAAAUUGUCUAGGGUUUAGAAUGAAGAAGAACAAAUUCACGAAAAGCAAAAAAAUUAGGAGUGAAUUUGAGAAAUAUAGCAAACAUCAAAAGAUGCAAAGAAAAUAUAUUUUCUUUUUCUUUUUGUGAAUUCGUUCAUCUGAAUAGAGAAAAAGCGGGAAGAGAUACCUCCGACAAACAGUUUGCUAGAGGAGUGACGACAUAACAUCCAUCUGAAUCUGAAUAUUGGAGAUGAAGAAAACCGAUAAACCCCAUUUGCCCACAUAUUUGUUUUGCUGUUUUCAACAAUAUGUAUGUGUUAUGCUUGAUGAUGACAAUGACCAUUUUAACCUUUGGAUUUAAUUCUAGGUCUUUAUUGCUCAAGACUCGAACUCAAACAAAUGACAAGUCAAUUCAAGAACAAUUUCACCAUACUACAUUUAAAAGUUGUCAUUGCUGCAUCUAUAUAAGAAGUUCAUCACUCUCUUUGAUUCCUUGUACCAAUUUAUAUGAAUUCCAAUUACAAUUGAAUGUAGUGAAACUAUGAGUAUGAUCAUUUUAGUGAAAAGAAGUCAUAAAUUUGUUGGUUCUAACUUUUGGAAAGAUCAUGAAUUACUACAAGAUGAUGUUUCUUCAAAAGGAUUUGAAAAGACCUAAUUUUUGCCACCAAUAACUGCUAUAGUUGUCUUCACUGACAUCUGUAUGAUUGACCCACAAUAUUGUGGUUUUCAUCAUAGACCAUUAAAAAAGUUUACUCUUUUGAUUCAUCAUUGCAGUAGAUGUCCUGAAUAUUAAUUCCGAAAAUAAAAUACAGAGGGAACAAUCAGCUUACAUAUGAACUUAAUUUCUUGAGGUUGAAUCUCCAACAGCUCCGUGUUCAUCUUUCCAUCGAAAAUUCAAACAUAAUCAGAUAGAUAUAUCAAAAGCCCGGUCCGGGAAUCAGAAAUUGCAAUCAUACCAAAACUCCAGUCAAUGUAAGAACCACGAAACACACACUAAAAACUGUGAGCUGUGAUAGAGUAAUACUAGCUCUGAUUUGAUCCAAUAUUUACCAAAACCAGUUGAAAUUUCGAAGAAAACCCUAAUUAACCACUAAAAUCGUCCUGUGUUUCAAUUUACGGACGAAAAAUACGGAAACAGAGCAUAGUAGGGAAAAGCUAAUUAAAGAGCGCAUUAAGCUAAUAAGAAUCACCUGAAAGAGCAGGAAAUAGAACGAAUUAGGAGACGAUUACAGAGGCGAUGAUAGUAAGGGUUGCUGACGGGAGUCGUUGGGUGCUGUCGCCAAAGAUGAUGGUGAGGGUUGGCUGAUGUGCUGUGAUGGAAGGAGAAAGGACAUAUGCGAUUGUAGAGGGCAAAGAUGGGUAUUUCAACCAUUCAGCGUCCACCCUGCAGGCCUCCUGCAUCCAUGAAAUAUGAAUAAAGGUUGGCAAACCGGUUUUCAUUCACAUACGGGAUCGGUUUUUAAACCGGUUUGUAUCACGGGUUACCUUUAGAAAAACCGAUCCUAUACGAACCGGGUCAAAUCUGUUUCACAAAAUUACAAAAAUGGUCCCUGUGGUUUACCAAAAAUCACAAAUUCAGUCCCUGUUAAUUUUUUUUGAUGCAAAUGGUCCUUAUGGUUUGCGAAACUUGCAAAGUUGGCCUUUUUUACUAACACCGUUAGUACAACGCCGUUGGGGUCAAAAUCUGUAAGGGCAUUUUCGUCUUUUCAAGUAUAGAAGGAUUGAAUUCGUGACUGUUGGGCGUGUCAAACCAAACAAAUAAAGGGUACAAAUGACUCCUUAAACACUACUAUUAUGCACUAAUAAUGUAGUACAAGGUAAGUAUGGUCGAUCCACAGAGACACGGGACAAGUGUUUAUACCUUUUUGCGUAAGAUACAAAAAUGGUCACAGAAUGGGGGGAAUUUAUAAGCAACGAUUUAAACUAUACAAUAAAACAAUAAGUAAAUGAUUGAUUUAAUGAAGUAGAUUCAGGAUUUGUAAGGACUCCAACUCCAUGCAAGACAAAUUAGCAAUGUGAUUCCAAUGAUGAAAUGAUAUUUGUUCAAUUAUAUCUAAAUUGGUACAUGGAAAUGCUAACAAGAUCUAGCACCUCCCAUUCACCACAUUGAUCUACCAAAAUAAGUUCUUUGAUUAAUCCUAACCUUACCAAUCUAAUCUAAACAAGCUCUUAGAAUUAGGUUGAAAGAUUGCAUUAAACUUUAUGUGAAUGUUCCCAACAACACUCAAUACUCCUCAUAAGCUCGGGAGCAUAAGAAUGUGUGAAUAAGAUUUACACUAAAUUCAUUCAAUAAAAAUCAGUUUAGUGUUUGUUACCUAGUCCAAUUUACAAAACAAUUACGGAUUUUGCAAUUAGAUAACUUGAAUGAUCUAACCCUAAUUCAAAUGGCCAAUAAGAAUCACAAUUAGAAUCAAACAUUCACAACUAGAUUGAAAUUAAAAGAAAACAUCAAGUCAUAUGAUUGAAAUCACAACUAGAAGUCAAGACAUAAAGUUGGAGAAUUUAGAGUUCUAGCCACUCAUGACUAGAACAAGAUCACAAAUCUAGAAAAUGAAAAUAAAGUUCUUACAAAAUGAAAUCAAAUGUUCCCAAGUGUUAAUCAACUUCAAAAUCCUCAAGAAAUUCGUCUUCUCUACUCCAAAAGUCGACCCCCCUAAGUAAAAAGUCGGUUCCCCUUUUAAGAAUGGUGAAAAACUGCUUUAAAACUCACGUUUACGUUUACAUGGCCCGCGUAAAUUAACACUGUCAUUUACACGGCCCGCGUAAACGCAAAAAUAUACUGCGCAGAAAUCUACGUUUACACGGCCCGUGUAAACGCAAGGCUUGCAUUUACACGGCCGUGUAAAUCUCUGUAAAACCAAAAUCUUCAUUUUUUUGAUAUCUUGCUCCUCGGUGCUCCGCAAGUCCUGAAAUUUUGUUUGCAACUUUUAUUUACCUCCUCCAACAAUAUCCUGCCUCCAAAAGUCCUUGAAAUAUCACAAAAGUAUUUGAAUGAAAUUGUCUCAUGAAAAAUCCCGAAAAACAUGCAAAAUGCAUGAGUUUAAGCCUAUAUGCAAUGUACUUUUAUAAAAUAAAGCUACAAAAUGGGUAAAUGAAAUGCACCUAACAGUGACAUUUGAGAAACCACAGAGACCAUUUUUGAUUCUUUUUUGAAAAAAUAAAUUAAUUUGCUUAAAGUAUGAGGGGAAGGUCGAACUCAUGACAUUUUUUGAAAAAAUAAAUUAAUUUGCUUAAAGUAGGGGGAAGGGUCGACCUCAUGGCCUCCACCCCUCUUUAUUUGACCAAAACCUUAACCAGUUGAGCUAAUUGCUUACUUGGUUAUAACACCCUAAAAUAAUUUAUAUAAUAAAAAAAAUGUUAACAUUUAAAUAAUAAAUUAAAAAACAAACAUUUUUUUACAUGACACUUUUUUUAAAUAAAACAAAAAGUAUUGUUGUCGUAUUAUAAAAAAAACUGUUUUUUACAAAUAAUUUGUAUGUAUUUUUAUGUAUUUAUUUUACGUAAAAUAUUUCUUUUAUUUCUUUAAAAAAUAAGUUUUCAUAUAAAAAAUAUGUUUUCGUAUAUUAUAAUUUUUUAUGUCUUCGAAAUAAUAAUAAUUAACACUAAUAUACAUGCAUUCUCGUGCUUUGCCACUUUGCACGCAACGACUUUCAAAGUCGCAUGCCCUGAUGUGAAACCCUCGCUCCUCAAACCGACGAGAAGAGAGACCCAAGUAAGAUCCACACACACGUGCGUCCCUCCUACCCAUCCAAAGGCCAAAAUGUUAGUCGGUCUAAGUGUGGAUCUUCCAUCAUAGGGGUCCGUCAAAAAAGUUAACUGACGCUUCAUUUUUCGCAGAAAAUACCUACCUGCCGACAAGUAUAAAAAAGAACAUCCUUAACCACAUCAUGUUUGUAUUUGAAACCAGAGAGCUCUCUACAAUGAACCGCAUGUUUUCCAAAGGUGUCCAAACAUGCCUUGCGGCAAACUGGACAUAUAUCGUCAAUUGAGAUAGAUAAAUCAUGAGGUGGUAACGAAUGAUAGAUAUAAAUGUUAUAUACUUUAAUUGAAAUAUGCCCAUGACCGACUGACCAAGUGAUUUAUCCAAAUUGAAAAUUAGAAUCGGUAAUUCCUAAUGUCUCGCAGCAUAUUCCAAUUUCCAAAUUCCAAUCACGAUCAAUUGAUCAUCUCAUCUGUCGAUUCGCUUCAACGCUUGGGCUUAGGCAAUUAGCGACUGAGUGACGAUUCGUGAGACACACGAAACUGUGAGACCGUCUCACAGAUUGCGAUUUGCGAGAAACCAAGAGUGAGAAAGACGAGAUUGCGAUUUGCGACUUCAUUACUUCAAUCGUGCAUUCGUUCUGUACCGUGGUUCUGUUUGAACCAAACGUCGCAGGCGGCAGCGGCACUCGGCAGGUCAGUAGGUCACUCAUGAUUACGAAACAGGGUUACAGGUUAGUGACUUUUUUUCUCCUUACUCCAAUCGUGCUUCUCAAUUCUCAUCUUUUGUUUGACAUGAUUUGCAUUACAGCGAAUUUAGGAUGUUGUUGUGCAGAUUAUUCUCAAUACACCAUUCCAAAUAUGUGUUUAUGAUUUUCCAAUUUGAUAUUGUUGUGUAGAGUGCAGACUCUGUGAUGUUCAUACUCUGUUUUUUAGAUUUUGGAUGAUGAUGAUGAAUUUAUGUUUAUAAUCAAUGUUUUUGUGUAGAUUGUAUGAUGUUUAGACUAUAUUUGAUGUUACAGAUUGUGUUUUUUUGUAGGUUUAGAUGGCUACACCAGAAAAUGAUAAACAACCAACCAUGAAUGAUGAAGAUGAACUUGAGGACAAUGAACAAGAAGCUGUAGAAAAUAAUGAACAAGAAGUUGUAGAAAAUAAUCCUAAAAAAAGGUUGAAAUCCGCUGCUUGGAACCAUUUUGAUCCGAUUUUUGUUGAUGGCAUCAAGUGUUUGUGAAAAACUGAAAUUGUUCUAUCAAGUGACUGAAAAAUUUUAUGAUACCAAAUAUCCCACAUCAAACAUAUUCUUCCCUUUAAUUUGUGACAUGAAACUAUCGUUGUCGAGUUGGAGCGUAUCAGAUAAUAAUGUUAUUAAGUCUAUGGCAUCAACUAUGUUGACCAAAUUUGAGAAGUAUUGGAAUGUAAUACAUAAUGUUAUGAGUGUAGCAAUUGUCUUAGACCCUAGGUAUAAGUUAAAGUUGAUCAAUUAUUUCUUUCCAAAGUUAUAUGGGAAUGAAGCAAGAAGUGAGAUUAUGCAAGUACGCAACAUAAUUACUGAGUUAUUUGAAGAGUAUAAAAAGAAACAUAAUGCAAAACAAGGAGCUUCUUGGAAACGACAAUGCGAAACAAACGUCUUUGAAGGAAGGGGUUCUAUUUUAAGUAAAUCAAUAUGGGAGUUGGAUUUCGAGAAUAUGCUUUAUGAGGAUGAUGGAUUGGAAAAAACCGAGUUGGAUGAUUAUUUAGCUGAGAAGUUGUUACCGAAUGAGGAGGGCUUUGACAUAUUAAUGUGGUGGAAGUGUAAUGGUUCUAAGUUUCCAAUAUUACAGAAGAUUGCUAGAGAUAUCUUAGCCAUUCCAAUUUCUUCAGUUGCUUCGGAAUAAGCUUUUAGCAUGAGCGGGAAUAAAGUGACAAAACAACGUAACCGACUCAAAGCGGAAACAGUUGGGGCAUUAAUGUGUAGCCAAAGUUGGUUACGGAAAGAACUUCAAGGUAAAUUUUUAAUACGUAUAUCAAUUGUUAUAUCAUACUUGUGUAUAGAUAUUAUUUUUUCUAAAAAUAAGUUCUAUAUGUUUCAGGUAAAAAGUAAGGAGAACCACAGGCUUUUGAUCAGACAAUUGCAUAUGAUGAGAAUGUUGAGUAAUUUUCAAAGAAAUAGAACCAAAGACUUGAAAUUUAUUUUGUUUAAUCAUGUUCUCGUUUUGAUGGUUGUUAAAUUUUAUGAUUGAUGUAAACAAUCUAAUUAUGAGAUAUGGUUUUGAUAGUGUAUUAAACUUGAUUUUUUUUGUGGCUUAAGUUGAUUUAUUAUGACAUAUGGUUUUGAACUUUUGAUAGCACGGGGAUGGGCCAGGGAUAAGCCCAAAAUCUAAAGGGAGAGGAUUAGAUUUCCCGCCUCUGUUGGGGAUGGGGAUGAGGAUGAGGAUAAGGUUAUAGACUCAGGGAUGGGGAUGGGGAUGAUAAACCCGCCCCAUCCCGCCCCAUUGCCAUCUCUACACAAAACUAAUGAUCUCCGAGACCGAGUUGAAAUUUUGAGAGGGGAUGCCACAUCCUUUGAGGAUCCAAAAGAAUACCUCCCGAAUAAAAUGAUAACUUGUCAAUAAAUGAUCGCUGAAGUGAACCCUUCUGACAAAAAAUACAAAGGCUAGAGGAUACGAUCCAUAUGGGGAUCCGGGCAUCUUUGUAGUUUUAUUUUAUUUAUGUUAAAAAAAAUUUGAUAGGGGUGAGCAAAAACCGCACCGCAACUAAAAUUAACCGCAAAAACCACAUAAACCGCAACCGAAAAACCGCAACAGCAAUAAAAACCGAUGGUGAGGUUUUCUGUUUUUCAAAAACCGCAAAAAAAACCGCACCGCACCGCAUAUAUUAUAUACAAUUUUUUUUAUCAAUUAUUAGUUUAUUAAAUAUAAAAAUAAGACAAGUUUCAUGAAUGAAAGACGGAUAAAAUAUUAGAAAACAAAAGUGUUAGUUUUUUUCUUAUGUUUAACUUUGAAAAACGAUGAAACUAGACAAUUUUAAGACAUUUAAGAUAUUAGUUGUUUGUGGUUUAAGUUAAAUAGUUAAUUGUCUUAUACCUUAUGGUUUUUUUUUUAUUACAAGUAAUAUGUUUGAAGUCUUAAAACUAUUUAAGCUCUAAAUUGAGGUUAAAAACCACAUAAAAUAACCGCACCAAAUCCAUGCGGUUAAUAACCGCAACACAAAAAAAAUAAAACCGCACCAAAAAAAUAACCGCACCAUGCGGUUUUGAAAAUGGAUUAACCGCAUUUGCGGCUAGUGGUGAAGUUUUGACUAAUAACCGCACCGAUACGGCCAAUGCCAAUCAGCUAUUUUUGUUUAAAUUUUAAUAAACGAUCAUCACAACCGUUCAGUGUUGUCUCCUUUUCAUGCCAUGUCAUCCAUCCGCGUGACAGCCAAGCCUCCAAUACAAUCGCAUUUAUCUGUCUUAUAUAAACUCCGUGCGAAACAAUUUCUUCAACAAAAGCAAUCAAUCGAAUUCCCCCAAAUUUGAAAACCUAGAAUUUUCGUUUCCGUUCUCGUUCUCAAUCUCCCAAAAAUCUGAUGGCUCCCAAGGCAGAAAAGAAGCCCGCCGAGAAGAAACCAGCGGAAGAAAAGAAAGCCGUGGCCGAGAAAGCGCCAGCGGAGAAGAAGCCAAAGGCCGGGAAGAAAUUGCCUAAGGAAGCAGGCGCUGCCGCCGGAGACAAGAAAAAGAAGAGAUCCAAGAAGAGCGUCGAGACCUACAAGAUUUACAUCUUCAAGGUGUUGAAACAGGUGCAUCCUGAUAUCGGAAUCUCAAGCAAAGCCAUGGGAAUCAUGAACAGUUUCAUCAACGAUAUAUUUGAGAAGCUCGCCCAGGAGAGUUCGAGGCUUGCGAGGUACAACAAGA